CAGGAAGCACGAGAAGCUGGCGUAGGAGAAGGCUGUGGUUCUGGUGGUUCGGACGGGCAGACUUCCUGUGAGCCUCCUCCUUCCCGUGGACCGUCCGCCUAUGAUGGAACGGGCCAUGGAGCAGCUAAACGUACAACUGAACCGCCUGACCCGCUCUCUCCGCCGGGCCAGAACCGUGGAGCUCCCCGAAGGUUCUUCCUGUUCCGGGAGGAGAGGUUAUAACAAAUGUGACCCUGGCUGACAAGGAAUGUGCAUUGUUCCUCUUUUUCUAAGAGCCAAUUUAAAACUGUAUAGAUGAUAAAUGAAAUGAAUAAACAAUUAAAUUUUUA
Long non-coding RNA from Austrofundulus limnaeus, 329 nucleotides. RefSeq lists it as uncharacterized. The transcript has 3 exons. The record is from RefSeq and is a predicted model, not a curated record. NCBI's taxonomy places the organism in Eukaryota, Metazoa, Chordata, Actinopteri, Cyprinodontiformes, Rivulidae.